UGGGGAGGGGUUAGGGAAGAGGUUGGGAAGAGGUUGGGAAGAGGUUGGGAAGAGGUUGGGGAGGAGGUUGGGGAGGGAGAAGUGAGCGGGCUGUGUGUGUUAUCAUGCUUGCGUCCCAAAAGGGCACCCUAAUUCCCUUCAUAUAGUGCACUACUUGUGUCCAGGGCCCAUGGGGAUCUGAUCAAAGGUGGUGCACUAUACAGGGAGUAGGGGGCCAUUUGGGACGUAUCCCCUGAGAUGGGUUCAGUUGCUCUCCGGACAGCAGGAUGAACCCCGGGGUCACACCCCAACACUAUAAAGAGGCGCCCUUCCUUCCUUCCUUCUUUCCUUCUCCUUGUUCUUUGUGACAUCACUGACUUGACACAAGUUGAAAGUGUAAAAGCUUGAACUCCAUUUUUUUUCAGUCAUGUCUGAUUCAUUGAUUAUUUCAAGAAAGGAGGCAGAGAGGGAAGAAAGGAGGGAAAGCAGGAUAAAGAGGAAGGAUGAGUGAAGAAAGGAGGGAAAGAGGAAAAGAGAGGAUGGAAGAGAGAGAGAGAGAGAGAGGGAGGGAGGGAGGGAGGGGUACAUUUUAAAGGUGUUGGAAUGUGGCUCUUGCCUUACAGCUCUGACCUGUAAAUUAACACACGCCACAGAUUAUACAUAUAUAUAUAUAUAAAUAGAUGCAUAAAUAUAUAUUAUAUACGAUGAAAAGUCCCUAAAAAUAAUAGGAUGAUGUUGUUGGGAGGGAGAAUGACUUAUCUGCCUUCGGCUCAAUUCCCUUUUGGUUUUUUAGAGAAGUGACUGUAAGAAAAACAACUUUUUUAUGAUGCUAUAAAAAAUAGUUUGUCUUGUUCAUAACCUCCUUUCUCUCAUCCUGUUUUUCUCUGUAUCAAGUUCAGAUAUUCAAGAGUCUAAAGGCCUCUGUUUUUAUUUAAAUAUCAAAUCAUUUUUGGUGUAACAAUUAGGUACGUUACUUGUGAUUUGUUUUCAGUUGAAAUUGCCCAAAAUAAACAAGAAAUAGAUUCUUAGCUGAGAGCAAUUUCUCAAGCAAGAAUGUUGCUCGGACUGUCUGGGAGUGGUCUGGGUGGGGAGGGGAGACUGAAAAGCAGCUGUUAAUGGCAGAGAGAUUUGGAACUCUUUCUUAUUGGUCGAUCAACUAAUUUAACGCAUGGUGAUGUCACCAGGCAGGCCAAAACUCCACCCCACCAAAACAGGCUGAUUUCCUUUUCAAACAGCUCCUACACUAAAAGGGUAUUAUCAUCAUUUUCACAAUGUAACAGUGUUAUUCCAGCCUUAUAGUGUGGAAAUAGACAUAUAAACACAGGAAGAUCACUCUUUUGACGGCACUGGCCUGUAACUACUUACCUUUGUUCUACUGUUCUGUAGCUGCAUCCACCUGCUACUAUACUUCCUUUCUUUUCUUCUUUAGCUUCUUACUCGUUUUCUUUUUUAUAUUCAUGUCCAUCUGUCGAUCUCUCUCUCCUGUCAUCAUCAUCAUCGUCCUCUACCAUCCGUAUCAUAGCUUUUAUUUACUUUUUAUUCCCUUCCUGUUUUUUGCUUCCAUUGUUCUGCUCUGUUUUUAGUUUCCGUGGUAACAGUCGGGGUUGUAGUCAUGUGCCAUAGCUCUGAGUGUUCUGGGUGCGCGGCCUGCUGUGUUGUCACGUCCAGAUAUACAUCAAACCCCUGUAUUCUUUUUUUGGGAUGUUUUUUUAAUUUAAUUUAGCCUUUUCAUAUUUGACGGUUGUUUGUUUUGUUUCUUGUCAUUGUUUUUGUUUUGAAUCACCGGUUGGUUUGUUGAUGAGUGAGGUGUUAAGGUCGAUGGAUACAUUCUGUUCUGAUUAUGGAGUAAAACAUCUUCUUUUUUUUUAAAGAAAAGUAUUAAAAUUAUAUAAAAAUGA
This is a long non-coding RNA of Oncorhynchus masou masou (cherry salmon), 1877 nucleotides long. RefSeq lists it as uncharacterized. NCBI's taxonomy places the organism in Eukaryota, Metazoa, Chordata, Actinopteri, Salmoniformes, Salmonidae. The transcript is spliced from 2 exons. The record is from RefSeq and is a predicted model, not a curated record.